This 496-nucleotide ribosomal RNA is filed under the name uncultured bacterium. Its description in RNAcentral is "bacterial SSU rRNA". It matches the Rfam family "Bacterial small subunit ribosomal RNA", at positions 899 to 1397 of the family's 1533-position model. The record is from RNAcentral.
ACUCAAAGGAAUAGACGGGGGCCCGCACAAGCAGUGGAGUAUGUGGUUUAAUUCGAAGCAACGCGAAGAACCUUACCGGGGCUUGACAUGGAGACGACCGGCGUAGAGAUACGCCUUUCCUUCGGGACGGCUCACACAGGUGGUGCAUGGUUGUCGUCAGCUCGUGUCGUGAGAUGUUGGGUUAAGUCCCGCAACGAGCGCAACCCUUAUCAUUAGUUGCUACAUUAGGUUGAGCACUCUAAUGAGACUGCCGUUGACAAAACGGAGGAAGGUGGGGAUGACGUCAAAUCAUCAUGCCCUUUAUGUCCCGGGCUACACACGUACUACAAUGGCAUUUAACAAUGGGUAGCGAAGCCGCGAGGUGGAGCCAAUCCCCAAAAAGUGCCUCAGUUCAGAUUGCAGGCUGCAACUCGCCUGCAUGAAGUCGGAAUUGCUAGUAAUCGCGAAUCAGCAUGUCGCGGUGAAUACGUUCCCGGGCCUUGUACACACCGCCCGU